This 332-nucleotide ribosomal RNA is filed under the name uncultured Actinomycetes bacterium. Its description in RNAcentral is "bacterial SSU rRNA". It matches the Rfam family "Bacterial small subunit ribosomal RNA", at positions 28 to 351 of the family's 1533-position model. Lineage: Bacteria; Bacillati; Actinomycetota; Actinomycetes. The record is from RNAcentral.
GACAAACGCUGGCGGCGUGCCUAACACAUGCAAGUCGAACGGAGAUACUUGAGUAGCAAUACGAUAGUAUUUUAGUGGCGGACGGGUGAGUAACGCGUGAGCAAUCUGCCUUUCAGAGGGGGAUAACGAUUGGAAACGAUCGCUAAUACCACAUAACGUAUCUAGACGGCAUCGUCAUGAUACCAAAGGAGCAAUCCGCUGAAAGAUGAGCUCGCGUCUGAUUAGCUAGUUGGUAAGGUAAUGGCUUACCAAGGCGACGAUCAGUAGCCGGACUGAGAGGUUGAACGGCCACAUUGGGACUGAGAUACGGCCCAGACUCCUACGGGAGGCUG